CAUCGAUCUAGUUACCUCCAACGGUGGUUGAGACCAUCACCACCGAGGUUCCUAGUCAUCAGUGAGGUAUGACACAAGGUAACUCGACAAAACACUGGAGGCCGGCGUUGGCAGCGAUUACGGAGGACGGUGUUGCUCGGAGAACUCCAUCUGAUUCUUAUGGUUUUGAUUACAGUUGGCAAACUCUGAAGAAUACAUUGAUGGGCAAUUUACUGGAAACCUUGGAGAGAUUUUAAUCAGGUAUACUUGGAUUGUCUGAAUAACUUUUAAAAACAGGACAAUUUGAGGCUGUCAAUGGAGAGGGGUUCAGCAAUAAGACGUCUGAGGCGCUUGUGGUCUUCACCGUUCUGCUGAAGCAAACUAUUGGGGCCCAACACCUUCUGACCGGUGUAGAACAGGUUCAAGCUAACCAUCCCAUCUUUUCCUGUUAAUAACAUCUUACUUGCUUCCAUACCGGUCGUAAACACCAUAUACCGUCCAAGAACAUAGCUCUUAAACACUUUUCCGUAUCUACGUUAAUUAAUUGCUAUAAGCAAGCAACAAAUUUAAUUGCAAUUGAUAUGAGAUUGAUUACCUUUGUUGCCUUUUAUUCAUGAAACUGAAAAUACCAGCAGGACUUGAAAAUUCAGAUAUAAAAGACAAACUCUCUCCUAAAAAUGGCCAACCAAAGCUACCUGGGAUGCCAUCCAUUUCCUUUGGGAAAGCACAUGCAUGAAGCAAGGCCAGUGUUAGAAUCAGCAGCAGCAGGACCAAUCCAACACCCAUCACUGUUGCCAUGCUCACCUCCAUUUUUUUAGUUCCAAGACAACUGUUUGUUGUUUCGGCAUUGCAUCUAUGCUUAUUGCUAUAAAUCUCAUCAUCUACACUGAGCGUCACUGUCCUAGAGGUAUGAUACAACCCAACUUCCUAAGAGGUGAAAAGGUACAAAAUGAGUAUUUGCCAUAUAUAAAUAUUAUAUAUUUAAAAAAAAUAUUAUGACAUCACAAACACCUGCCGUUUCCAUUUGUGAUGGAUGGAUGGAUUUUUCCUUUUAUUUCCUCGACUUCAGUUUAAUUGGGGUAUAAGUUUUCGAAACUUUCAUGGAUAUCUUGUAAAUCCCAAUAUACAUAUUACAUAUACCUCGGUUCUAACGUAUCCCUGUAACCAUGUUUAAGAGCAUCUCUUUUAUAUCUCCUCUCUGUUUCUUUCCGGUCUCUCUCGUUUUUUUUAUUUAAGAAGUUAUUUUAACAUAACUGCUUGAUCAAUUUCUUUUUAAAUCUCAUAAAGUUUUUAAAUCUCCAUGGCUUCUUUCCCUUGUAUUGGUUCAUGGCAUUGAGGUUGACAGUAGCCUCCUCCUCACUCUGACCACCUGACAAGAACAUAACAGCUGGGACAGCUGGUGGCAUGGUUCGUUGCAGGGCAUGGAAUGUGUACUCUGCCACUACUUCGGGUGCAACCUUCUUGGCAUCAGACCCAGGUUUAAUGAAAUGUACAGAGUGUAUAUUCAUGAAUGAAUACACACUAUAAAAUCAAUUCCUUGGUUCUUAAAUUAUUUGCGGUUCUCACAUGAACCCUCCCAUAUAUAUAUAUAUGUAUAUAUAUAUAUAUAUAGAUUCUAUGUGAGUGUCAUGAAGUCAGGAAGAUAUUCUAUUAUUCUUACUAGGCACAUAUUUACCACCUUUUUCCUUGGUUAUUGAUGAGAUCACAAUGUACACAUGGGAAGAGGUAUUAUGCAUAUGCUAUAUGGAGAAGGUAGUGUGUUAUAAUAGGUGAAUUGGUUCAUAUCUUGGGAAAUAUUUUCAUUCAGAGAAGCUACUGCCAGUGAGUGUGCCAACCAUCAACUAAAUCCAUGUUUACUUGCAUAGUCGUCACUAAGUUGCCAUUUACAGCAUGUCCGGCUUGUAAACCUCCAUCAUACACGUAAUAUCAUAUCUAGCAGAAGAACUACAUGCCUACCAAUCCUUUUCAAAUCGUGUAAUAGUUCUAUGCUCUUUGUACACAAAUAAUUUGUCUAGAAAUGGCAGGCAUGAUUUGAAGCAGUGAUUUUUCUGAAAUUACUAUACCUCAUGUGGGCCUAUUUGUUGGAGAGAAUUGAGCAGCAUCCAUAUCAAUGGAAGAUCUAGAGGCAGGAUGUUUUUUUUGUCAUGGCUAGGAUAGGGUAGUAGCAGUCAUAGUGCCUAUAUGUAACUCGACUUUCUUGCACUUAAAUUUGGAUCUAGAGGCAUGUGUUAUGUACUUGCAAGCGGCUUUUGGUGAUGAAUUUUGAUAAUUGGAAGAUCGGACCAUCAAAUUUAUUGUUAUGAUUUAUAAUGAAAAUCUUGAAUAUGUUGCAUUGGAAAAUGAUUCUUCUACUUGGAGACCGUAUACCAGUUU
Molecule: long non-coding RNA, 2352 nt
Organism: Cynara cardunculus var. scolymus (artichoke)
Lineage: Eukaryota; Viridiplantae; Streptophyta; Magnoliopsida; Asterales; Asteraceae
Exons: 3
Source: RefSeq, a predicted model, not a curated record